GUGGCUUAAUUUGACUCAACGCGGGAAAUCUUACCGGGUCCGGACACACUGAGGAUUGACAGAUAUAUACCCCGUGAUUUUAUCGCGGGGUUGAAAGAUGCUAGUUCUUUCAUGAUUAUGUGAUAGGUGGUGCAUGGCCGUUCUUAGUUCGUGGAGUGAUCUGUCUGCUUAAUUGCGUAUCAAUAAUAGAGACCUAGUAUACGCGUAGACUCAUGCGGUAGUGACCCCCCUUCACAGGGCGCGUGUCGCACGUAUGUUAUACGCACAGGUCUCCGAUAGCAACGAACGUGACCGUACUCUAUUGUUGCAGCGACAAUACCUUUCAACGGGUAUUACCGCUGCUUAGCAAGAUUCGUCUUGCAUUAAACUAUAGAGACCGCUGUUUCUUCUUUAAACCAGAGGAAGGAUACGGCAAUAACAGGUCUGUGAUGCCGUGGCUUAAUUUGACUCAACGCGGGAAAUCUUACCGGGUCCGGACACACUGAGGAUUGACAGAUAUAUACCCCGUGAUUUUAUCGCGGGGUUGAAAGAUGCUAGUUCUUUCAUGAUUAUGUGAUAGGUGGUGCAUGGCCGUUCUUAGUUCGUGGAGUGAUCUGUCUGCUUAAUUGCGUAUCAAUAAUAGAGACCUAGUAUACGCGUAGACUCAUGCGGUAGUGACCCCCCUUCACAGGGCGCGUGUCGCACGUAUGUUAUACGCACAGGUCUCCGAUAGCAACGAACGUGACCGUACUCUAUUGUUGCAGCGACAAUACCUUUCAACGGGUAUUACCGCUGCUUAGCAAGAUUCGUCUCGCAUUGAACUAUAGAGACCGCUGUUUCUUCUUUAAACCAGAGGAAG
RNAcentral lists this ribosomal RNA (838 nucleotides) under Ammonia sp. genotype T6. RNAcentral describes it as "partial small subunit ribosomal RNA". The stretch from base 4 to 455 matches the Rfam family "Eukaryotic small subunit ribosomal RNA", at positions 1188 to 1490 of the family's 1831-position model. The record is from RNAcentral. Lineage: Eukaryota; Foraminifera; Rotaliida; Rotaliidae.